CUCCAUAAGGUCUUUUCAUUAGGUUUUUUUUCUCUCUUUCUAUCUACCACUCUUUGCUGUAUCUCCAUCUCACUCCUCUUUUGAAAACUGGGCCAGCUUCCAUCUUCAUCUUCUAUCUUCAACCUCUGCAUGGCUCGUCCGAUGGAAAAAAUUGUUGACAUCAACGACACCAGGGAGUUGUGGAAAGUGGCGGUGAGAGUUUCCCAUAAUUGGAAGGUAGUAUCCAACAACAAGGAGCACUUUGAGACGAUCUUCCAAGACAGAGAGAUGUAGAAGAUUUUUUUGAAAGAAAAAAAGAAAGAGAGAUUUACAAACGAAUCUGGAAAGUUAGGGUUUCGAUGAAAGUUAGGGUUUUGAUUCUGGAUGUGCUUCAGAUGAAGAGGACAUGAGUUUUCUUGUCGCCGCAUUCUCUCCCUGACUUCAGGCUGAAUAUUUUUAUCAGUUCACAUAUUCUAGCUUCAAGGAACAUUUAUUUGUGUAAAUAUUGAGAAAUGUCGUGCCUGGCGGAAGAAAAGAAAUAGAUACAGUUACCGUUUUGGAUAAAGCUGUACUCUGGCAGAUAAAAAUGAAACGCUUUGUGGUGAAGUGAAAUGGACGGGAAACCUCGCGAUGUGGGAUAAAUCACAGUUUGAAAGGUUUAUAAAGAAUACGCACCAGGGAUAUCCUACAGAAACAUUAGGGCGGUUUCUCAAAGGUAGGGACGGGAAUGUUGCCAAAGCUCAUAAAAUGGUUGAGAAGGCACACGAUGGAGACAAGUGGAUUUGAUUUGUUGAAACUCAUGAAAUAUUAUUAGAUCUGUUUGUAGGAAAGAGUGGGAAAAUAUGGAAAACCAGGUGGUGGAAGCGAACCUGAGAACAUUAGCUUACCAGAAGAUGAUACAUCUGCCAUGAAAUAUGUAAGCCUCUUUUUUGUUUCGUUCAUAGAAUGGAGUAACGAGUAAUUAUCCUACUUUUCACUUUGGAUGGUGUUUUUGUUGACGUUAAAACAGUCGUGGCCAUUACCAUUCGAGUUGGUUUCGGUACAUAUCAAAGUCAUUACAUGUUAUUGAGUUUUAAUUUCUCGUGAUAUGUUGCUGAUAAAUCCAAGACAGCCGGCACCCAAACUAUUCAACAAAGGUUUACGCUAUGCACCAGAAAAAUGUGUUUCUUUCAUAAUCAAGGAAUUAUGAUGAUAUGGGCAUUGCAUAGAGGACAAAGAAGAAUCCUUUUUCACAACAUUUAUGUAGAUAUGGAAAGACCUUGACAGCACAAACAGUGGUCUCCAGCUUGAUAUACUACAGAUUUGAAAUCGGCAACUUAAAUUUUCUUCCAAAUUAUAAUUCUUUGAACUAAAAAUUAGUUAUACUGUUUGUAUUUCUAUUUUCUAAUUAAGUGAUUGCUUUCUAUCUUUGUACAGGGAAGAUGCUACCCAUAUAUUCCUACAACAAGAAUAUGUUGAUGAAGAAAUGUUGAUUCCUAAAAAUACCUCGGUGUUUAUUAGACGGGUUCCAGGGCGGUCAGGAUUACCAAUUGUUAGUGAACUACAGUACUUUCUCAAACCUUUGUAGACAAGAGGUGAAAUAUAAGGUGGUGGAAGCUGAACCUGAGAACAUUAGCUUAUCGGCAGAUGAUACAUCUGCCAUUACAAAGUUAAGAUCAGUUUCGGUCGUUGUUGUCUCGGGUGAAACUGGUUGUGGUUAGACUACACAACAUCCUCAUGAGUGUACAUGGUCUGGAGUCAGGAUGUUAUUUUUGGACUCGAUGUCAAUCGGGAAGGAAGAGAAGUGGCUUGGGCGUGGUUUAAGGACUAAAACCAAAGAGCAUGCUUAUUUCAGGGAGUAAAUCAGAAUUAUCUUACUUAUUUUGCAACAAAAGAAGCUAUGUUGUUGUGUUAGUUAAGGCAAAUUGUGUGUCUGGAAAGAGUCUUGGAGUUAGCUGAGACGAAUAAGGUAUGUACUAGAUGAUGUCAAGUAGUAGGGAUACUCAUUAGUGUUAUAAUUGCAUGAAGUCGGUCCCCCACCUGCAUCGCGGUCCUCCAUAGUCGCAAUUCCUAUUGUCAAGAUUGCGUCGAAGCAUCUUCGGUAGGUCCAUCGUGUCCGGUAUGCAAAGAUGACAUUGAGCUGGGGACUGAUGCAAAACAAAUGUCGUCUAGGCAUAUGCAUGUUUUUAAUACCAUUGGUCAUGAUAUAUUGAAUUUGGUUGGGUUUGUUAAUAUAUUAUUACUUGUGAUGAAGUUCAUCUUUGAAGUGAAGUUGGAAAAGAAUAUACUUUGCAUUUCCUCUUGAUUAUGCUUUCCACAAGUCAGGAGGCUGCAAAUACUUUAGUUCCCCUUAUACAGUGGUGCAAUCUGUUUUUUUCUUCUUCUAGCGAAUG
Molecule: long non-coding RNA, 2351 nt
Organism: Vicia villosa (hairy vetch)
Lineage: Eukaryota; Viridiplantae; Streptophyta; Magnoliopsida; Fabales; Fabaceae
Exons: 13
Source: RefSeq, a predicted model, not a curated record